UCAUGUCUUUCUUCCUUGCCGCCAGCUGGCUGAAGGAUGGGAUCCUGACUGCUCUGCAGCAGCACCCCAAGAGAAAUCUCCUGCACCUUCUGCCCAAAACCUAAAAUGCACUCCAGCAAUUAAAGUUGAAAAUAAUUUCUAGCCAUUAUUACUUUUUUUUAAAGAGCAAUUUCUUAUUGAAGACUUAGGAGAAAGUCUUCUACUCGUCUGUAUAAACAGCAAUAAAAUGAAUGCAUUUUAAUAACUUUUUCCAAGUGCUUAUAAGGUAUUUCAUUCAAUUGUCAACUUUUUCUUUCAUAUAUUUUAUGAUUUUUUUUCCUCCUUCUGCCACGGAUAUGUUGGUGCCAACAUCAUCACGCCACAGCUUGCUGCCAAGACUACGGGAAGUUAAAAAGGGAAGGAAAAACGAAUUUCUGUCCACUCUUUAGGUGAAUUUCCUGUUGCGCUAGAGGCUGAGAAAGCCAUCGGAGAGCCGCAGACAAGCGUUAGAAAGCCAGAGCAGCGCCACGCGAGCGUGGACAUGGUACCGGAGGGAUCGAUUCGGAGCCACGAGCGAACGGUAAUCAGCUGUGACGUUUCCUAAUCCGGUUGUCGUAGGGAGAUUUCACCUAGUGCCUGCCCGCGUCUCUGUGAAGGUGAGAUGAAGCGGCACGAGCGCCCACCACGUCAGCUGUGAGGGAUUUGCGGCUCCGGCUUGCAAGAAGGUACCCGUCUUCCCCACCGCACCGUCUCCAGCUGCUGCACCAAGUCCUGUGCGUCCUCCCUGCGCCCCCCAAGGACUCUGCCUUUUCACUGUCCCACCCGGCUGCCACUCGAAAGGUCGCGAAAGGCGCUUCCAGCCAGGCGCUGAGCCCCCCUGCUGCUACCUGCUGUCCUAUGAGCGGAGCCCUGAUUUUAGCUCAUUAGUCUGCGAGGCGGGAGGGAAGCUAAAACCCCCUCAGUUCUGCUUUGGAGAAGAGCCGAGACAGCCCACAGAGUCGUCCCUUGCCGUGCCAGCAGGAUUUGUGCAGUGCCUGCUCCGAGGUACUGCCAGUUCUGUUUCUCCUGCGCCCCUGGAAGGCUCUGCAACAGAAGGGGAGGAUUUAAUCUCAUGUAAAAUCUGCUGUGGAACAGAACCUGCCCUUCCUAAGUUUUUGGUCAAAUCCCAAGGUGCCAGGACCAACAGCGAUCAUGGCAGCAAAAUACAGCUACGUUUUCUUCUGAACUGAGAACCAAGUAGACAAAGCUGGUGAUAA
Molecule: long non-coding RNA, 1235 nt
Filed under: Struthio camelus australis
Lineage: Eukaryota; Metazoa; Chordata; Aves; Struthioniformes; Struthionidae
Description: lncRNA (ENSSCUG00000013994.1)
Source: RNAcentral